GAGGAAAGAUAGGUAAGUAGAUCGGUGCUAAUAAGCUUGCUGGAAGAACGUAGUACAGAGAGCUCUGAGCUCCAUCCCACUUUCGAAGUUAGUGCAUAAACUCACUCCAAACACUACAAGGACGACCAUAACGCCGCUCCGUCCGAAGCCCAAAUCAUCGGCUAAAGCAUUUGUAAAAGGGAACAUAUAUACUCCUAUUUUGGUCUCCGAAACAAGACAACGCCAGACAUUUUUUCUCUCUCUCUC
Molecule: long non-coding RNA, 246 nt
Filed under: Hordeum vulgare
Lineage: Eukaryota; Viridiplantae; Streptophyta; Magnoliopsida; Poales; Poaceae
Description: long non-coding RNA (HVUL_LNC017464)
Source: RNAcentral